Molecule: ribosomal RNA, 499 nt
Rfam family: 5.8S ribosomal RNA (bases 122-275)
AACCCCAUGUGAACAUACCUGUUUCGUUCCCUCGGCGGUGUCCGGCAACGGCCCGCCAGAGGACCCAACAAACUCUUUUGAAUUUUUCAGUAUCUUCUGAGUGAAAAAAACAAUAAAUCAAAACUUUCAACAACGGAUCUCUUGGUUCUGGCAUCGAUGAAGAACGCAGCGAAAUGCGAUAAGUAAUGUGAAUUGCAGAAUUCAGUGAAUCAUCGAAUCUUUGAACGCACAUUGCGCCCGCCAGUAUUCUGGCGGGCAUGCCUGUUCGAGCGUCAUUUCAACCCUCAAGCUUAGCUUGGUGUUGGGGAUCGGCAAGGCGUCCUCCGGGUCGCGCCGUCCCCCAAAUUUAGUGGCGGUCUCGCUGUAGCUUCCUCUGCGUAGUAAUACACCUCGCUCUGGAGUCUCGGUGCGGCCACGCCGUAAAACCCCCAACUUUUUCUGGUUGACCUCGAAUCAGGUAGGACUACCCGCUGAACUUAAGCAUAUCAAUAAGGCGGAG